ACAAAGCUCGACUUGUUGCGAAAGGUUUUCGACAAGUUCAAGGAGUUGAUGUGACACCCCGACUCAGAGAAACCGGAACGCCCCGUAUUCCAGCCCAGAGAUCGAGGAGAAGUCUCUGGAAUACGAGACUGCUUGACAUAGAACAAAUCAGCUCUUAUUACAAGAAUAAUAAUACCAGGGUCUGAUGUUACAAAGAAGCACAUCAGCAUAGCGACACUACGCCUGCGAUACUACACUUGCUCUAUGCUAGCAGUGGAACAACUUGUAGCAGCGGAAUACUUCUAGCAGCAGAACAACGAUGAAGGUGGUGAACUCCACUCCGCAGGGACUCUGGCUGGGACACGAUCUAGCUCGCACGCACGGCAACCAUCGACAAGCAAUCAAGCAAUCAUGGCAUCACCUGCAAUCUGGCAUGACACGCCAGGUCAGUACAUUGAAUGUACUUGCAAGCUCACAACAACCAUAAACAUCAAGGCAAUACAAUAACAUAGCAUUAACAGGUUAAUUAUUUAACAACUACCAUGAUGAAACAACUACUAAGGAUGGUAUGAAACUGAUACAAUACUAAUAAAUCACCAUCUCAGAUCUCCAUAACCAUAUCUCUCUUGGCUAACCGGCCAAGCAAUAUACCAUCUCGAUCACCUCGUGAUCAAAACCAAACGGUGAUCUUUUCGGCGAUCACAACCAUGAACAACACUUGGUCUCAAAUGGUGAUCCUUCCGGCGAUCACUACCAUGACCAACACUUGGUCUCCAACAUCAUCAUCAACAUCCUGCCAAUCUGUAGUGCUCAACAUAUCAACAUAUAAAUAUAUCACCUAUAAGUCAUUCCGUCAUGUGAGUGUUGAUCGAACGGUGUGACCUAGUACGAACCCUUGCCCAUGACCGAGGACGUGGCUAUCGAUAGAUUUAAAUACACACUCUGUAGAGGUAGCACACUUUACACACACCACGGAACCCAUGGCCUCGCACUCCCAUUCGAGUGGACCAACGGCGUUCCGACAAAACCGAUCUACUGCCAUGACACUCUCCCGGCCACUCCGACCCCAACUGGGCUAGUCCUGGGUGGCCCCGUGUCUACCAAAGACACAACAACCACCGUCGUGGCCAAAAUGUCCCUCACGGGGACCGUGCACAUAACAACAACAACGGUCACACAAGGCUUAUGUUCGCCUACCAGAUCAGGGUAGUGCGCACCCAUAACCUUCCCUAGUUGGAGGCACCGGCGAGAGGCACGGCAGUAGACCACAUUAGGGCCUUCCCAUAAAGGCAAAUGUGGUUGCACUGGAAAAGCCCGGUUCGGUGGCACCUGACCAACUUAAUGACGGAAUUCAUUCCCAAAAUAUAAUAGUAAUGACUGAUACUCCGAUAUCAUCUAUUAACCUAUAAUCCAAGUCAUAGCAAUAUCCAACAAAUAAUCCAAAUCUUAAUAUCAUCAUACCAAAAUACUCUGAGGACAGUAUAACACUACUAUCAUGAUGAACCCAAGAACGAUAAUACUACUACUCAAAUAACUAUCCAGCUAUGGUCCACAUGCAAGCAUCAUCUCCAUCAUCAUAUUCCAUAACAUAAUAUCAUGAUGAAAAUAACACUAGCCACUAAUAAUCCAAAGGCAACAUGAUAUUCAAAGUAGUGCUCCAAGAUAAUAACAGAUACCAUCGUGACAAUAAUCAUACUAGCCACUAAGAAUCCAAAGGCAACAUGUCAUCCAAAGUAAUACUCCAAAGCAUAUUACCAUCAUGAACAUAAUCAUAAUAGCCACUAAGAAUCCAAAGGCACAUGUCACCCACAUAAUCAUCAAAAUAUAAGUCCUAGAACUCCAAGCAAUAUCAUGGCAAUAUCAACAUCAAAACAAUACUCCGAGUCAUGCCAUGAAUAGAUCAUACAUAGCUAAUGCAAUGUUUUAAACGAAUUCAAAUAAAUAAACCAUGUCACUGCAUUGCAAUCAUGCAAAUGGAGGGUGUGGCUUGCCUGGGGGUGGAAGAAAUCACCGAGAAGAAGUGCGAGAAGCUCGCGGAACGGAUCGCGGGAAACAGAUCUCUCUCGGAGGGGACUGAUUAAUGGCAAGGGCAAAAUAGUCAUUUUCAGAAUGUUGAAACAUAAUUAAAAUGAUACCAACAGAACGGGCUCGAGGAAACGAAGAAGUGGGCUUUGGAAUCACCUCAUUUGGAGUUGUGAGCAAAAAGAUAUAGCUAUUUUUCUGCCAGGGACCCAUCUGUAAAGAAAUAUUUUUCAGCCUGGGCCUAAACAGAAAAACUGAAAGCGCCUACGGCUGAAAUACGUUUUCAGAAAAGGGAAACGUAUUUCUAGUCGCAGUUAACCAAAGUACGCUUUCUGGACAGGAAAACGCAUCCCGGAUGAUACGUGUCCACUUAUGUGACUAGGCAGAGGCGGGACCGGGUGCGUGGUCGCUGACCGGCGGUUCCCAUGGGCUGUGGGGCCCGUCACUUAUCCAGCUAGGCAGGCGGGGUCAAUGCCUACCCGCCGACAGGUGGGGCCGAGUGGAGAUGGGGCCCGCCUGGCCUGGCUCCUUCUUCCUCCUCCCGCUCGCCCGAGAUGCAGAGACGAGACCGGCGGCCUGACGCGGAUUCCCGGCGACUCUGGCCACCCCUCGCGGCGUGCGACCUACGGGAGUGAUCAGCGCGACGAGGCGGAUCCAUACAGGCAAGAUGCAGCCAUGGGGAAGAGCUCGGCUGAGCGGGAGGCCAGCCGCGGCGGACGGCGAUCUUCGGUCGGCGGCGAGCUCAUGGCAGAAGGCCACCGGAGGGGAGGGAGAGCAUGGG
RNAcentral lists this long non-coding RNA (2782 nucleotides) under Triticum aestivum (bread wheat). RNAcentral describes it as "long non-coding RNA (TAES_LNC010460)". The record is from RNAcentral. Lineage: Eukaryota; Viridiplantae; Streptophyta; Magnoliopsida; Poales; Poaceae.